CCCAGCCCCCGCGCUCGGCCCGGCCCCGCUCGGCGGCGUGUCGGGAGGAAGCGCCGGCCGCGCGGCCGCCGGCCCCUCGGUUCGCCCGCCCCCCGUCUCCUCCCCUUCGCAGCCGAUCCUCCGCCCCCUCCUCCUCCCGCUGGCGGCGGCGGCGGCUUUCUCGGCCCGGCUCCCCGCUCUUCCCCGCGGCUUCGCCUCGCUCUUCAGCGGGAGGCUCCGCGCCGCGCCGGCGAAGACGGCAGUGCUGCAAGGAGCCUCUGGGAGUUCUGGAGGGAAGAGACCAGCCUCCUUUUGGAGACCUUUGCUACGGGUGAAGACCGUCAAACAAGUCAAGCAGAUACAGCAGGAGCUCAGAAGUUUUACAUCAAGUGCAAGUAAGCGAAUGACUCACCAGUUAUCUAAAGCAUCAGUUCUGCAGAUCUGCUUCCAGCAGGCUUUACAAGCUGAUGAGGUGAGUGAAGAGGCAUUGCCAGCUAGAAGGCAUGCUUUGUUUUCUGUGGUUCUGUCUCCUGAUACCUCUUAGGUGUGGAUUUAGUUGCCCCCUUCUUCUAGGCGUAUGCUUUUAUCAUUUUCCUUUUGUUUUGUUGUUCUGGGCUUUUCAGACACAACAAACUUCUCAAGUGUAUCCAUUCAUCUCUUUCACCACCAGCAGCUUCUACAGAUCUUAGGCUUUUUUUUUUAAAAAAAACACAGUUCAUCUUGUGUAUCCCCACUUAGCAGGAUUUGAUACUUUCUGCUCUUGUAUUUUAUUUAUUUGACAAGAGAUACUCUAGCGUAUGAUAUCAUUGGGAAGACUUGAAGGUGUCUCUGAUCUUAUUCCAACUGUUCUCUUCUGCUGGUUUUAGGAGUUGAAGUGUGUAUACAGGGCCAAAAAAAUCUCAUUACUGUUAAAGGUGAAAGAUUAUCUUAAGGCCUCCCCUUCAUGCAUGCUCAGAUGUGUAAAAGUUAAUUUAAAUCACACAGUCUGAAUGAGAAGAGAGGUAUCUGAAUCCAGGUGGUUUUUUACCCUAAAUUGCAAAGUAGAUUCAAAAAUAUUUUUUAUUCAUAGGACUAAUGUGCUUGUUUCAUCACAUUGUACUGAUGAGAUACAAAGCAGUAGUAGAAGCUACUAUUUACUGAAGUACUACACUAAUUUACCUCAAGAGAUGACUAUGUUCUAAGUACCCAAACAGAAAAUGAGCUGUCUAAAUUUUUCUCAGCAUCAAUAUUUCAGAGCUAUUUCAAUUCCAUAUCUGCUUCAUUAAAAACGAAUUAUAUAAAUGGUGUAGUUGUAAGUACUGAGAAUAACUUGAAUAGCUUAAAUGAGAUAAAUGGUUAAGAUUUUGCACUGUAACAUGUGCUGGGCUGAUCAGUGUGAAAACUCAGUCCUGUGUGAGAGUUAUUUACAUUUUCUUCCCUUUGGUCCUUCCAACCAUGAAUAUUUAUGCUAGCGUAUUGGAUAUGGGGGGGACUGCAUGUGGCAGUGCAGCUGAGUGUAGAAAUUAUGGGUUUCUUUUUGUGUCAUGCAUCAGUUUCUGUUAUAAAGUAUGAAUAUCAUGUACAGUGAAGUAAAUGUUAAACACUUAUGCAACUUUGAAAUUUCCUAAUAUUUCCCUUCUCUGGCAGCCCUUUUACUGUGGUUCUGUUGCUUAUGUUUUGACUACAGACAGCUGGAAUUUGCUUUGAAAAUAUCAAUGUCUGUUUAAUUUGCUGAUUAGCUUUGAAGCAGUUCCUUUCUUAGACCCUGAUUAAAAGGGAUGUUUGGAGAGCAAGGAGAGACUUUCUUGUUUAUAUGUAGCAGAAGACUGCUGUAGCAAGAGAUGUGUGUUUGAGAAUGACUGAAAGCUCUGGUACUCACUUCACUUAAUUUUUACUGCUUGCCUUCUUGCCUUGCUUUCUGAUGGCUUUGUACCAAAUUUCUACAGGGAUUGUGUUAAAAGGAAAAAAAAAAGUUUUAUUAAUAACAUAAAAUCAUAAAAUCACUGAAGUUAGAGAAAAGCUCCAAGGUCAUCCAGUCCACCUAUCCACCUAUCACCAGUAUUUCCUAUUAUUAUGGGAUUAUUGACUUCUCUUUCCAUCUUUGACAUGUUUGGGACCUUUAAAUUCAGCACUGUGAUAUCAUCUGCUUGAGGAUGCAGGAAAAAAACCAUCAAGCUAAAACAGUGUAAUCCUUCAUGAUGUAUAUUAGUGGAAAAGGUGCAACAUACUUGUUUCAUGAAAAUUAGGUUCAGACCUGUGUUAGACUGCAUUAUUCCUAAUCAUAUGUUGACAGAAAUUCAAUGCCCACUAAAACAGUGUGAGUCAUCACUGCUAAAUUACAGUGCCAGUGGCACAAGGAUUAUGUACUGGCACGGUGUUUUUGCUGUACUGUUCUUAGUUUGUUAAAUGUAAAACUGAAGGUCACGAUGCCCACAUUUUAGAAACCUAUCAUGGAAGCACUGGGGUUUUGCAGCUGAAAUAGAGAGAUAAAAGGAACCAUCUGGCUGAGACUCCCCAGAUCAAGAUGAGUCUCUGGAUGGUCACCUGAAGAAAUCCUGGUUAUUGAUAGCAGUAGUAUUACAGCUGGUCACUUUGUUCCAUAUUAUUAUAUAUUGCAAGGAAACUUGUGUGUGUGUGAUAGUUUCUUCCCCCAGGCCGAGGAGGAGGAGGAGAAGAAAAGGCCUGCUGUUCUGGCCAGGGAGAAUUGGAGUAGGAUGGCCAGUAAGUGUUUUGUCCUUGAGAUGUGGCAGAGGUCCCCUGAUGUGCAUUUGCCAUCUCCUUAAGAGCAGUCCCUAGCUCCUCUGUUAGUAGUUGUAGGGUCAUCGCUUCCCUCUUGUUUUAGGGGAAACACUGUGAAGGAAGGGGAGUGUCAGUUCAAAUGGUCAGGGAGAGGAGAAAACAAGGGGUGUGAGUCUCUAGACUUUAGGGUUGGGAACUAAUCUGUCUGCAUUUACACUAAUUUUACAUGACCCUGGCUGUGUAAAUACAUUGCUCAUUUUACAUUAGAGCAUUGGCUAAAAGCCACAAGCAAUCCUGGAAGCAGGGUCUGGUAUCUUAUCUGCCCCACAAAUGUCAGCUGCCAGCUCUACAAGCUGCCAGGUCUACAAGCUGCCCAAGGUGUAAGUACGCUCUUGUUAGGGAAUAAGUCCUGAAGAGUUAUUUAUGCAAGGGCUUUUGGCUUGCUCCAUUAAAUAAUUAAGCCUCUCUUCCUGGAGAAGCAUUUCAUCCAUGCCAACAAAAUGCUUCUGGUUUCUUGUAAGAAGAUUGUGAGACUGGGUUCUGGUACAGCGAGUCAUAGUUGCUGGCUGUAUGUACAUACAAUUUCUGGUCAUGAAAUUAGCAAUAUUUCUAAGAUUAAAAUCUAAAUUUAUUUUACACUUAAGUAAAAGGUCUUGAAGUUUAGUAAUCUGUCUUCAAACUUGUUACCUUUGAAAUGAUAACUGAAGUCAUUGCAAUACAAAGCAAGUUUUCUUCUGGGAUUAAUUGUUCUGAGUGUCUUUAGCCCUUAUGUACAGUAAUGAGAUCUGAGAGUUGCUCUGAAGCUCAGGAUUAUGGGUGUGGGCUGGAGACUCAAAGUCUCCAUGCUUUGCCAUUUCUGGGUGGUUUUCAAGUGAGUGCCUGCAUGCGUUAGUAUCUGCAAAGAACCACUUCUGUUCUGACAUUUGCACCUUGACUUGCUUUCUAAUUGUGUCUUGCAGCUUGACAUAAACACCUUCUCAUAUAAAGAGAUGUGAGAGACUGGAAAACAUUCUUUGAAGAAUAAAACAAAUUUAAUGAAAAGGGCUUUAGAGAGU
This 3752-nucleotide long non-coding RNA is filed under the name Phasianus colchicus (ring-necked pheasant). RNAcentral's name for it is "lncRNA (ENSPCLG00000020381.1)". Lineage: Eukaryota; Metazoa; Chordata; Aves; Galliformes; Phasianidae. The record is from RNAcentral.